This 497-nucleotide ribosomal RNA is filed under the name uncultured bacterium. Its description in RNAcentral is "partial 16S ribosomal RNA". It matches the Rfam family "Bacterial small subunit ribosomal RNA", at positions 28 to 507 of the family's 1533-position model. The record is from RNAcentral.
GAUGAACGCUGGCGGCGUGCCUAAUACAUGCAAGUCGAGCGAACGGACGAGAAGCUUGCUUCUCUGAUGUUAGCGGCGGACGGGUGAGUAACACGUGGAUAACCUACCUAUAAGACUGGGAUAACUUCGGGAAACCGGAGCUAAUACCGGAUGAUAUUUUGAACCGCAUGGUUCAAAAGUGAAAGACGGUCUUGCUGUCACUUAUAGAUGGAUCCGCGCUGCAUUAGCUAGUUGGUAAGGUAACGGCUUACCCAGGCAACGAUGCAUAGCCGACCUGAGAGGGUGAUCGGCCACACUGGAACUGAGACACGGUCCAGACUCCUACGGGAGGCAGCAGUAGGGAAUCUUCCGCAAUGGGCGAAAGCCUGACGGAGCAACGCCGUGUGAGUGAUGAAGGUCUUCGGAUCGUAAAACUCUGUUAUUAGGGAAGAACAUAUGUGUAAGUAACUGUGCACAUCUUGACGGUACCUAAUCAGAAAGCCACGGCUAACUACGUG